GCUGUAAAAGUUUAUGAUAAACAGUUAGUCUUGUAAACUAAAAAAGAAAGUUUAAAUCUCUCUUAUAGCU
RNAcentral lists this transfer RNA (70 nucleotides) under Synallactes sp. Y30071. Its description in RNAcentral is "tRNA-Thr". It matches the Rfam family "tRNA". From Rfam's summary of the family: Transfer RNA (tRNA) molecules are approximately 80 nucleotides in length. Their secondary structure includes four short double-helical elements and three loops (D, anti-codon, and T loops). Lineage: Eukaryota; Metazoa; Echinodermata; Holothuroidea; Aspidochirotida; Synallactidae. The record is from RNAcentral.